AAUCAACGCUGGCGGCGUGCCUAACACAUGCAAGUCGCACGAGAAAGGGACUUCGGUCCUGAGUACAGUGGCGCACGGGUGAGUAACACGUGAAUCAUCUACCUUCGAGUGGGGAAUAACUGAGAGAAAUCUUAGCUAAUACCGCAUAAUACCUACGGGUCAAAGCAGCAAUGCGCUUGAAGAGGAGUUCGCGGCAGAUUAGUUAGUUGGCAGGGUAAUGGCCUACCAAGACGAUGAUCUGUAUCCGGCCUGAGAGGGCGCACGGACACACUGGAACUGAAACACGGUCCAGACUCCUACGGGAGGCAGCAGUGGGGAAUUUUGCGC
Molecule: ribosomal RNA, 327 nt
Filed under: uncultured bacterium
Lineage: Bacteria
Description: bacterial SSU rRNA
Rfam family: Bacterial small subunit ribosomal RNA
Source: RNAcentral